Molecule: unclassified non-coding RNA, 520 nt
Filed under: uncultured Acaulospora
Lineage: Eukaryota; Fungi; Glomeromycota; Glomeromycetes; Diversisporales; Acaulosporaceae
Description: SSU rRNA
Rfam family: Eukaryotic small subunit ribosomal RNA
Source: RNAcentral
AGCAGCCGCGGUAAUUCCAGCUCCAAUAGCGUAUAUUAAAGUUGCUGCAGUUAAAAAGCUCGUAGUUGAAUUUCGGGACCAUCAUGUCGGUCGUGCCUCGGUACGUACUGGCAUUGUUGGUUUCUACCUUCUGACGAACCAUGAUGUCAUUUAUUUGGUGUCGUGGGAAAUCAGGACUGUUACUUUGAAAAAAUUAGAGUGUUUAAAGCAGGCUCACGCUUGAAUACAUUAGCAUGGAAUAAUGAAAUAGGACGUUUGAUUCUAUUUUGUUGGUUUCUAGGAUCGACGUAAUGAUUAAUAGGGAUAGUUGGGGGCAUUAGUAUUCAAUUGUCAGAGGUGAAAUUCUUGGAUUUAUUGAAGACUAACUACUGCGAAAGCAUUUGCCAAGGAUGUUUUCAUUAAUCAAGAACGAAAGUUAGGGGAUCGAAGACGAUCAGAUACCGUCGUAGUCUUAACUAUAAACUAUGCCGACUAGGGAUCGGAUGAUGUUAAUUUUUUAANGACUCAUUCGGCGCCUUAC